This 409-nucleotide ribosomal RNA is filed under the name Acidobacteriota bacterium. RNAcentral's name for it is "Acidobacteria bacterium partial 16S ribosomal RNA". It matches the Rfam family "Bacterial small subunit ribosomal RNA", at positions 355 to 776 of the family's 1533-position model. Lineage: Bacteria; Pseudomonadati; Acidobacteriota. The record is from RNAcentral.
UGGGGAAUAUUGCACAAUGGGCGAAAGCCUGAUGCAGCGACGCCGCGUGAGGGAUGACGGCCUUCGGGUUGUAAACCUCUUUCAGCAGGGACGAAGCGCAAUUGACGGUACCUGCAGAAGAAGCACCGUCUAAUUACGUGCCAGCAGCCGCGGUAAUUCGUAGGGCGCAAGCGUUGUCCGGAAUUACUGGGCGUAAAGAGUUCGUAGGCGGUUUGUCGCGUCGUUUGUGAAAACCAGCAGCUCAACUGCUGGCUUGCAGGCGAUACGGGCAGACUUGAGUACUGCAGGGGAGACUGGAAUUCCUGGUGUGGCGGUGAAAUGCGCAGAUAUCAGGAGGAACACCGGUGGCGAAGGCGGGUCUCUGGGCAGUAACUGACGCUGAGGAACGAAAGCGUGGGUAGCGAACAGG